Schizosaccharomyces pombe (fission yeast) is the source of this 338-nucleotide non-coding RNA. The record is from the annotation of a GenBank genome assembly. Lineage: Eukaryota; Fungi; Ascomycota; Schizosaccharomycetes; Schizosaccharomycetales; Schizosaccharomycetaceae.
UCAAAUCGCUCAAUAUGAGUAGAUAAUCGAUGAAAAUCCUAAAAUCAUCAAUUGUUAGCUUUCGAUCUUAAUUCCAAGCAUCCUAACAAGGACCACUUACCUCACAUUGUCUAAGAAUAUCCGCUACCCUGACAAAGUUAGAGUAAUCGUUUCAUAAAUGGUAUUUUGAUAAAUAAUCCUUACUUGUUAUAGACAGCAUCAUCCGAUGCGGCAGCGGUCAUUUUCUUAAAGUUAUAAGCAGACCUAGUGCUUACAAACGUUUCUAUUUACUGACAGAUUGAUUAAUAUAUUUACGGACUGGUUGUAAAGGCAGGCAGCUUUAAAGCAUUGCAAUUCAU